CGAGAACUUUGAAGGCC
RNAcentral lists this microRNA (17 nucleotides) under Callorhinchus milii (elephant shark). RNAcentral's name for it is "eshark_mir-716_11". Lineage: Eukaryota; Metazoa; Chordata; Chondrichthyes; Chimaeriformes; Callorhinchidae. The record is from RNAcentral.